This 73-nucleotide transfer RNA is filed under the name Ignisphaera aggregans. Its description in RNAcentral is "tRNA-Cys". It matches the Rfam family "tRNA". Rfam says of the family: Transfer RNA (tRNA) molecules are approximately 80 nucleotides in length. Their secondary structure includes four short double-helical elements and three loops (D, anti-codon, and T loops). The record is from RNAcentral. Lineage: Archaea; Thermoproteati; Thermoproteota; Thermoprotei; Desulfurococcales; Desulfurococcaceae.
GGGCCCGUAGUCUAGCUUGGUAGGAUGCGGGGUACAAUCCCCGUGAUCCCGGGUUCGAAUCCCGGCGGGCCCA